AGUGAACGCUGGCGGUAGGCCUAACACAUGCAAGUCGAACGGCAGCACAGUAAGAGCUUGCUCUUACGGGUGGCGAGUGGCGGACGGGUGAGGAAUACAUCGGAAUCUACUUUUUCGUGGGGGAUAACGUAGGGAAACUUACGCUAAUACCGCAUACGACCUACGGGUGAAAGCAGGGGAUCUUCGGACCUUGCGCGAUUGAAUGAGCCGAUGUCGGAUUAGCUAGUUGGCGGGGUAAAGGCCCACCAAGGCGACGAUCCGUAGCUGGUCUGAGAGGAUGAUCAGCCAAACGGGAACUGAGAAACGGUCCAGACUCCGACGGGAGGCAGAAGUGGGGAAUAUUGGACAAUGGGCGAAAGCCUGAUCCAGCCAUACCGCGUGGGUGAAGAAGGCCUUCGGGUUGUAAAGCCCUUUUGUUGGGAAAGAAAAGCAGCAGGUUAAUACCCCGCUGUUCUGACGGUACCCAAAGAAUAAGCACCGGUUAAUUUCGU
RNAcentral lists this ribosomal RNA (491 nucleotides) under uncultured bacterium. Its description in RNAcentral is "partial 16S ribosomal RNA". It matches the Rfam family "Bacterial small subunit ribosomal RNA", at positions 29 to 506 of the family's 1533-position model. The record is from RNAcentral.